RNAcentral lists this ribosomal RNA (253 nucleotides) under uncultured bacterium. RNAcentral describes it as "partial 16S ribosomal RNA". It matches the Rfam family "Bacterial small subunit ribosomal RNA", at positions 524 to 776 of the family's 1533-position model. The record is from RNAcentral.
UACGUAGGUGGCAAGCGUUGUCCGGAUUUACUGGGUGUAAAGGGCGUGCAGCCGGGAGUGCAAGUCAGAUGUGAAAUCCCGCGGCUCAACCGCGGAACUGCAUUUGAAACUGUGCUUCUUGAGUGCUGGAGAGGCAGACGGGGUUCCUAGUGUAGCGGUGAAAUGCGUAGAUAUUAGGAGGAACACCAGUGGCGAAGGCGGUCUGCUGGACAGUAACUGACGGUGAGGCGCGAAAGCGUGGGGAGCAAACAGG